Paramuricea clavata is the source of this 309-nucleotide non-coding RNA. The record is from the annotation of a GenBank genome assembly. NCBI's taxonomy places the organism in Eukaryota, Metazoa, Cnidaria, Anthozoa, Malacalcyonacea, Plexauridae.
UUAAAUUGGUUAAUAAGUUUUUGGGUUAAUUUGCGAGGGAAACCAUUCCAAGACAUGAAAUUUUGGAUUUGUUUUAAUUCGUUGUUCAGGAGAGUGGCAUUACUGCAGAUUUUGUAGGCGCGAUUUACGAGAGCACGGAUCCAAGCAAUUUUUCUUGACCAGGGUGUGAAGCUUGAUAUAUGGGAGUAUUGACCAGUAUGAGUGGGCUUUCUAUAGACAGAAGUUCCAGAGGGGUGGAUGUGGAUGUCAAGGAAAUGGAUGUCAUUGUCGCUAAAUUCGUCAGCGGUGAAUUGUAAGUUAGGAUGGAAA